CUACGGGGGGCAGCAGUGAGGAAUAUUGGUCAAUGGGCUUACGCCUGAACCAGCCAAGUCGCGUGAGGGAAGACUGCCCUAUGGGUUGUAAACCUCUUUUGUCAGGGAGCAACGCCGGCUACGUGUAGCCGGACUGAGAGUACCUGAAGAAAAAGCAUCGGCUAACUCCGUGCCAGCAGCCGCGGUAAUACGGAGGAUGCGAGCGUUAUCCGGAUUUAUUGGGUGUAAAGGGUGCGUAGACGGGAAAUUAAGUUAGUUGUGAAAUCCCUCGGCUUAACUGAGGAACUGCAACUAAAACUGAUUUU
Molecule: ribosomal RNA, 305 nt
Filed under: uncultured bacterium
Lineage: Bacteria
Description: bacterial SSU rRNA
Rfam family: Bacterial small subunit ribosomal RNA
Source: RNAcentral